GAAACCGUUUGCAGGGAAACAGAUGGACCCACGAAGUCCAGUUGAGUGUGAAAUUCACAUUUCAAGACAGCGUAAAUUUGAGUGUACAUCUUCUUUCGAAGGUGUCCUCGAGUUAUUGGCUGUCAAGAGAUGCAUUUUUCACAUUCACGAUGGAGCUCUGACUUCUUAAUCAAACCGAACUGCUUAGGGCAGCUCUUAAAUGUAGUGAGAUUCCUGUAAUCUCCGAUACAUUUUUGAGUGUGCAGUGAGGUUUAACUGAGAGGUUGAAUUUCUCACGUUUGUGAGUGAUUCAGUUUAUCGGUGAAAAUAUCUGGUAGGCAUGUGGCAAAAGAUAUUGAUUUACUGUAAGUAGUUGACUUUAUCUUUUGUUCACAUUCCAAUUUAUCAGAUAUUUUUGCCAAUGAUAAUCCAGAGUAAGUAGGUCGGUCAUCCAUCUGACC
RNAcentral lists this ribosomal RNA (440 nucleotides) under Unionicola trapezidens. RNAcentral describes it as "partial large subunit ribosomal RNA". Lineage: Eukaryota; Metazoa; Arthropoda; Arachnida; Trombidiformes; Unionicolidae. The record is from RNAcentral.